AUGGGCUUGGGCCACGGGCAGGCUCCUCUGGCCCCUUCACGGCGUUUCCAGGUGUGACACGGAGCUGCGGGUCAGGCCUGCUGCCUGGGUGCACCCUGGGUCCACGCCCAUCGCCGGCACCGUGGCUCAAGGCCUCUCUCGCACUGGCCUUCACAGCGUCUUGAAAGCACGCAGCACAGUGUCCUUGCACUGUGGCCACUGCCCGUAUUGUCCGGCCGCCUUCACUUUUCAGAAGUCCCGGUCCUGGGGGCCCCGUCCGUGCCGGCAGACCCACUGUCAGGAAGAUGCUACUUUCCAUCACAGGAAUUAUUCUGUCACAAGUCCUCUGAUCUCAGGCUUCCAAAUGGGAAAAGGAAACCUAUUGUGCUGAAAUGGGAUCUUUUUGCUGAGGGACCAGCCUCAUCUAGAAAGGUUCAAUUCAACGACGUCCCUACCGCGGUGCUGGGAGUUUCUGGCCUCCUCACAGCAGAGGCACCUUCUGCGGAGCCUCCCGCUGGGCAGGUGCUUUCUGGAGGGUCUGCAGAGUGGUGCCACACGGAGAGCCACGCACUGAAAAGGACCACCCACGAAGUGCCUUCCCCCCAACGGUGGGACAGCCUCUCAUCCUCCAAAGGUCUGCCGAGCACGUGAGAUAACAGCGCUCCUAAACGCUCCCACCAAGCCUCCUCCCUGCUUCCAGGGCCUGGCCUGCAGCCCUGAGCCGUAUCACCCCCAACCCAAGGCACCGGGGCAGUGCCCACCAAGGCUACCAGACGGAAUCCCCACCUGGGAUAAUGGGGAUGGGGUUACAAGCUGCCGUUCUUCUGGACACGGGGUCCUUGGGAGUCAAAGCGGCCCCAGCACA
RNAcentral lists this long non-coding RNA (844 nucleotides) under Homo sapiens (human). RNAcentral's name for it is "HSALNT0279157". The record is from RNAcentral. Lineage: Eukaryota; Metazoa; Chordata; Mammalia; Primates; Hominidae.